The submitters of this non-coding RNA (57 nucleotides) gave its source as unclassified sequences. The record is from Rfam.
GUCCGUUCAUUCUCUUAUGAGAACGCAUGAAACCACAUCAUGGAACGGGGGUGUGGU